CCCAAACCAAUAAAGUUUUCUUUAUUGGGGUUGCGGACAUAUCAUAACGAAGAGGUAUCGUAAUUGAAGAGGUUUGGAAAGACCCACCACAGAAGGUAAUAGUCCUGUAUGUUAAACGAGAAGACUUCAGAUAUGAUCCAGAGUACCACGGGACACGUGAAACCCUGUGGGAAGCAGGAGGGACCACCCUCCAAGGCUAAAUACUACCUAGUGACCGAUAGCGGAUAGUACCGUGAGGGAAAGGUGAAAAGAACCCCGGGAGGGGAGUGAAAUAGAACCUGAAACCCUGCACUUACAAGCUGUGGAAGCACAUUUCUUGUGUGACCGCGUACUUUUUGUAGAACGGGCCAA
This 351-nucleotide ribosomal RNA is filed under the name Clostridioides difficile. RNAcentral's name for it is "bacterial LSU rRNA". It matches the Rfam family "Bacterial large subunit ribosomal RNA", at positions 268 to 623 of the family's 2925-position model. Lineage: Bacteria; Bacillati; Bacillota; Clostridia; Peptostreptococcales; Peptostreptococcaceae. The record is from RNAcentral.